GGAUGUGAGGGUGAUCUGGCCGUGACAUCUGUCAUCCCAUUGAUUGCCAGGGUUGAUUCAGCUGAUCUGGCUGGCUAUGUGGGUGUCCCCUCCCUCUCUCACCGCUCCAUGUACAUCCCUCCCAAAGUUGCGUGCUCGGUUAAAGAGGACGACCAUCCUUGAUAGACGAGGACUGGUCUUCAGUCAAGUGUAUACGAGUAGCUGCACUCCCCUGCUAGAACCUUCAAACAAGCUCUCAAUAUCAUUGGGGACCAAUGUAAACUUUAACCUCAGACUGACAGCAAAUAGCUGGAGAGAUUCCAGAUACCACAGCAACAUCCGAAGACAGGGAGACGAAGUGGAAAAUAGCUAAGUGAAAAAGAGAGUUUCUCUUUCUUAAUUC
RNAcentral lists this small nuclear RNA (382 nucleotides) under Theropithecus gelada (gelada). RNAcentral's name for it is "7SK RNA (ENSTGEG00000003721.1)". The stretch from base 1 to 303 matches the Rfam family "7SK RNA". Rfam says of the family: 7SK was discovered as an abundant small nuclear RNA in the mid-70s but a possible function has only recently been suggested. Two independent studies have found that 7SK RNA binds the CDK9/cyclin T complex (known as elongation factor P-TEFb). The record is from RNAcentral. Lineage: Eukaryota; Metazoa; Chordata; Mammalia; Primates; Cercopithecidae.